RNAcentral lists this ribosomal RNA (265 nucleotides) under uncultured Atopobium sp. RNAcentral's name for it is "partial 16S ribosomal RNA". It matches the Rfam family "Bacterial small subunit ribosomal RNA", at positions 90 to 354 of the family's 1533-position model. The record is from RNAcentral. Lineage: Bacteria; Bacillati; Actinomycetota; Coriobacteriia; Coriobacteriales; Atopobiaceae.
AUAAAGUGGCGAACGGCUGAGUAACACGUGGGCAACCUGCCCUUUGCACUGGGAUAGCCUCGGGAAACCGAGGUUAAUACCGGAUACUCCAUAUUUGUCGCAUGGCGAAUAUGGGAAAGCUCCGGCGGCAAAGGAUGGGCCCGCGGCCUGUUAGCUAGUUGGUGGGGUAGUGGCCUACCAAGGCAAUGAUGGGUAGCCGGGUUGAGAGACCGACCGGCCAGAUUGGGACUGAGACACGGCCCAGACUCCUACGGGAGCAGCAGAA